UAUUGGUAUUAGAAAAAAGUGUUUGUGAAUUAGACUCAAUUCCUUUUAGGAAAAAACUAAUAAAUUCAUUCUUUUCUACAAAAACAUCUUUCAAAUCAAUUUCAAAAUUUGAAUAAAAUUUUUUUUUUUUAAUUUUACUCCGUAUUUGCUUUAAAUUGGUGUUGUAGCUUAAACAGUUUUAAACGAGAAAUUCUCAUUAAAAUUCAUGCAAACACCAUUAAACUUUGAAACUGAAUAAUUUUUAAUGAGAUUUUUAUUUUUGGUCCAACCCUCUUAUGGUUAUUGAAUACAUUCAACUAAUUUAUACAGUUAAUAUUGUAUAGAAUUCAGUUUGUAAAAACUCUAUGUAUAUUGUACAGUACACCUCUUGUUGGGCAAGGAUCCUACUUUUAAAAAACUCCUCUUUAUGUAGUAUUUUUUGCUCAAAAUACUUAUCUCCUGUAUUUGCUAUUGUAGACCCCCCCCCCCGUACAGUGUAGAUUGGGUUCGUAGUUUGCGAAAAUAUUUUUGAGGAUUUAUCCUCCAAAUGUUCCUUCGUCAUAAAUACAUAGAUAUUUGUAAAUUUAAAUGUUUAGAUUUGAAUAAAAUAUAUUUCAAUUCUCUCUA
Molecule: long non-coding RNA, 606 nt
Organism: Eurytemora carolleeae
Lineage: Eukaryota; Metazoa; Arthropoda; Copepoda; Calanoida; Temoridae
Exons: 2
Source: RefSeq, a predicted model, not a curated record